AAUACAAAACAUCCGGACAGCUCGUCAUCAUUUUGUAUCAAAAUGUUUUUGAUCUGCUGGAGGUUACAAAGUUACUCCAGCUGGUGGAAAGACACUUUUGAAGACCAAGGACGACUUUUGUUGCUGCCAUUAACUCGUUCGCUGCCAUUGAUGUUUUUAGAAGUCAACCGGGGGGUUGGGGGGGGGGGGCUGCCACUGAGGGAAUGAGUUGAAUCUCUAUUUCGAUGGACGAACUUUUGAAGCGCCAGGGAAAUGAGGACUUCAUCUCCAAGGAAAGCUUUUUAAUCAUCGAGAGGAAGAGGAAAAAUGUGAGCCACAUGAUUCAGCAAAUAUGACAUCAUCAAGCUGACCACACGUCGACCUCUGAUUGUUUUUUUUUUUCCUUCUGACUAACGAACAAAAAGAAGAAGACCCCACCAAUGGUGGUUGUGAGACUUGCUGUGCAUCCGGUCGAAGUCAGCAGCGAUCUCCAACGCUGUUUUAUUGCUCAUCUCGGGCACAUUGAAGUACACAAACAGCGCAGAGACCAAGCACACCAACAGGAAUACGACAAAGCAGAAGGAAUCGAGGUGCUCCUGGAAUGGAAGCAUUCGCAUUCUGGAGGUUUUCCUUGGAGCGUGAAGAUGAUUUUGCUACAGACAGCAGGGUUCCAUCAGAAAGUCUGGAUACUUUUCAUUGGUCUUUUUCACAACUUCAGGGACCCUAAAAGGCUACCAUGGCACACCUCAGUGAACCAUCUCAUGCUGCAAGGAAUUCUUCUGUUUCAUUGGCUGCUCUGGGCAUUAAAGGAGAGGAAGUCAUGCUGUGGCCCCAAUCUCCCCCUGACCACAACCCUGUUGAGAACCUUUCGCACAUCCUCAAGUAAAUAGUUUUAAAGUGUGGCCAAACAUGUGACGCGACAAGGAAAAAUAAAUAACGGCUGGAGAGCAAGUAGUUUUCCUGGUAUUCAGAAGACAAAUGUGGUCACGUCUCACCUGAGCCCCAAAAGCUGACCACUGAACUUCCCUAUGCCGAUGAAGGUGCCGAUGGUCACGCCCACCAUCGCUUGCAGCAUCUUUGGGGUGCAUUCAGUGAGGUACAAGCUGUGAGCAGACAGACUGAUUCCUGCAUAUACACACACACACACACACAAAAAAAACUAUUCGGUGGUGACCAAAGAUUCAGUUAUACUGAUACCAAAAGAGAAAUGAAGCAGAUUUAGCAGGGGAUUAAAAAACAACAUCAGUUAGGCUCGACUCCAGUUCACUUGCAACAUUAGUGGUGGCAAGUUGAGCCCACAAGUUGUCUCAAAAAGAUUAUUUGGAGUGACGCUAACCACUGUUUGUUUUAAGUCACUCCCAAAUAUACUCAGAACAUAGUAGAAUGGUAGAAUAUAAAAAGUAUUCAAUAUUAAUUCUGUGUGAUCAGUGUUGAGCCCAAGCACCAACUCUGAUUGUAAUGUGGGAAGUUAUCUUUUCUGUGCCGUGUUGGUUGUCUUGAGUAUACCAGACACUAUAUUUUAAGAGCAGUAAAAACAUUGUUGCCAGUUU
This is a long non-coding RNA of Syngnathoides biaculeatus (alligator pipefish), 1529 nucleotides long. RefSeq lists it as uncharacterized. The record is from RefSeq and is a predicted model, not a curated record. NCBI's taxonomy places the organism in Eukaryota, Metazoa, Chordata, Actinopteri, Syngnathiformes, Syngnathidae. The transcript is spliced from 8 exons.